This is a long non-coding RNA of Poecilia reticulata (guppy), 958 nucleotides long. RefSeq lists it as uncharacterized. The record is from RefSeq and is a predicted model, not a curated record. NCBI's taxonomy places the organism in Eukaryota, Metazoa, Chordata, Actinopteri, Cyprinodontiformes, Poeciliidae.
GUUGCGUCAACAGAACGGAGGAAGCAGCGGGAGAGACAGAUAGGGAGAGGGACACAGGACGAGAUGUGUGUACGUGCAGAGCUGCACUAAACCGCGACACACGGUCUGGGGGAUUCCAGCCAGCUGCACAGGGGAGCGCUGACCUUGGCAAAGAGCACGCAGUUUAUCAGCCCCUGGAACAAACAAGUGUUAAGAUUCAAGCGUCGACCGGUCAGCAGAUAAAUGAUUGACUCGCAUUAAUGAAGCCGGAAAGACUUGCACUUUUAACAAGAAAGCGUGCUGCUCUGCAAUUACUACGAAUUACACGUCGCGCGUGAUGGGAGAGGAUGGCGUUUUUUUGAUCCGUUUUCAGGCGAAAGCGUUUACUGCCAAACUCGUUACACUGAUGUGGCUUUGGGUUGCAGAGAGAUUUGUUGGAUUCGUUGUGUAACCGUCUCUUUCUGCAGGAGUGAAAUCAAGACGAGGUUCUGGUGGAGGCUGCGUGUGCCGUUUCAGCACGUCGGGCAGGAGAGGUGAAGAAACUUGCUUCCCCUCCUCGCAAUCACAUCCGAACAAUAAGUGAUUAUCCGUCUCUCACUGCUGUUGAGAUAAAUGCAUCUUGCUAAGAGUAAUAGCCGAAGGCUCGGGUUGUUUUUGAUCUGAUAAAACCCGGGACUUAAAAAUGAACCUACUAUCUGCCCAUAAUGAAAGUUACCUUUGGCCAGCAUCAUGAGUCUGACAUUCCUGUCAUAUCUUGCUUAAGGGCAGUGGCGCAACUACACGUUAUUUAGGUGGAUGCGAAAACAUAAAUCGGCGCCCCCCACCCACCCUGGAAGGAAUGUCAAAUGUCUGGUUGAAGGAGCGACGCUCACUCGCUCGACAAACUUGGACUAAUUAUCUCGUUCUUUAUCUCAAGCCGGUAGAGCUGCUUUGAGAUGCAGUGGACCGGGAUCUACAGCUGACAGAUCUGCAGCCUGAU